ACAGUCAGGCCAAACGCCCCCAAUCCACGCCAGGGGAGACUGUGCCCAGGGCUGCGGCACACACGGCCUGAAGCCGGCUGCAGGGAGUGGGCUUGGCCAGCCGCUGGCUACAGCGGGAACUGUCCAGCCUGUGGCCAGGGAGCAGCUGAGGGAGGCAGGAUGGCAGGAAGUGGCCGGGCAGCUCAGGCCACCUGCCACAGGUGGUCGUGGAAAGAGAGUCCCUCAAACUGAGCUUGCAAACUGAAGUCGUAAACUAACCUGAGAAAGGCAAGUACAAAUAACAGGAAUCUCAAAAUAAACAAGCUGGAGAUCUUAAAAGAGAUGAAAGAAGUCCUGACUGUCACACAGUCCCUGGUCUGACUGAGCGGCCAGGCAGGAGGAACACCCGUGCUGAGAGGCCACCCCACAGGAUCUGGGCUUGUGUUACCCACAAGUUCAAGGAGCAGAGGAUGACUGUCCGCUCGGCAAAUGCUCACUGGCACUGCUGUGUCUGCAGCAGGCUGGGCAUGGCUGGGGCUCUGGGACUCUGGGACUGCAAGGUCCAGUGUGAUGGGUUCUGAAGCCGGCACCGCAGAGCCACCCGGUGAGGUUCCAGCCACCAGCGAGGAGGGCACUAGGUCACCGACACUGGGCUGGGGCCUCGUCUAAUCUUAGGUUGCGAGUCUCUUUGAGAAGGGUACAGAGGUGAACGCACUCCAGAGGGGAGGGAGGGAGACCCUGACCGCCAAGGUGACACACACCAGGGAGGGAAAUGGAUGGUGCCUGUCAAGGUGACACACACCAGGGCGUGGAGGGGGGCUCUGCCGCUGACUGACGGUGACCUCAGACAUGUGGCCCCGUAGACACCAGCCUCCUGGGUGUUGGGACUGGCGCUAGACCUGGGAAUCACUCAGCACCGGCCCGGCACACAGCAGAUGCUCCGUGAACUCAGCCUCGCUCCCAGGGACACGCCCCCCACACCCACCGUGCUUGCCUGAGCCAGGAGCCCCACGCCCAGGCCCCGCCCGCGCCUCCUACCAGCUCUCGGCUCCACCGUCUUGUUGGCACCCUCCUCCAUGAACAUGAACCGCCCUCCGCCGAAGUCCUCCAGGUAGUUGGAGAGGUACAGCAGCGAGGUGUAGUCGAAGGAGCCGUAGGUCACCUGAGGGCAGAGCCGGGAGGAGGGGGCAGAAUGGGCUCUCAGCAUGCGACCAGGGCAGGUGCUGCUUCUCUCUCUUAUUUUUUGUUUAUUUAUUUUUUGAGACAGAGUCUUGCUCCAUCACCCAGGCUGGAGUGCAGUGAUGCGAUCUCGGCUCACUGCAAUCUCCGCCUCCCAGGUUCAAGCAAUUCUCCUGCCUCAGCCUCCCGAGUAGCUGGGGCUACAGGCACCCACCACCACACCCAGCUAAUUUUGUAUUUUUAGUAGAGACAGGGUUUCACCUUGUUGGUCAGGUUGGUCUCAAACUCUUGAUCUCAGGUGAUCCACCCACCUUGGCCUCCCAAAGUGCUGGGAUUACGGGCAUGAGCCACUGAACCCAGCCUCUUUUUUUUUUUAAUAGGGUAUCGCUUUUUUUACAGACAGCAUCACUCAGGCUGUAGUGCAGUCACAGCACUGUCAUUGCUUACCAUAACCUUGAACUCCUGGCUUUAAACAAUCCUCCUGCCUCAGCAUCCCGGGUAGCCAGGACCACAGGCGCACGACACUACAACCAGCUAAUUUUUUCUUUUCUAUUUUUUUUUUUGUAGAGAUGGCAUCAGUCCACCCACUUUGGCCUCCCGGGUGCUGGGAUUAGAGGCAUGAGCCACUGUGCCUGGCUGAUUUUUGUAUUUUUUGUAGAGGUUGGGGCGGGGUGGUGGGGGCAGGGGGGCGGGUCUCGCUAUGAUGCCCAGGCUGGUCUCAAACUCCUGGCCCCAAGUGAUCCUCCCACCUCAGCCUCCCGGGUGCUGGGAUUACGCGCGUGAGUCACCAACAUCUGUGCUUCUUAUUUUCCAGAAGGUAAAUUAACAACAUGUGUCGGCCCCAUUAAUGAGGCCAUUUGUUCCUUUGCAACUUUAAAAACCCUCUGCAGAGUCUCCAGCCUCAUGCAUUGUUGCCCAGGAUUUCCUGUAAGCUCAGAUGUUGGAGCAGCCGUGUUCCAGCAAAGGCUACGGGCAGCAGGCCAGCCAGCAGGGUGUGCAUGCUGGGAUGGUCCCCCGGUGCCAGCCUCGCUGCCCACACGUGGGAACCAGAGGCAGCGGUGGACGCGCUUUUCUCCUUUCUUCAGAAGUGGAGCAAUCCCAAGCUUUUUAAAACUUGUAAUAAAAUGCAGAACCUAA
Molecule: long non-coding RNA, 2295 nt
Organism: Homo sapiens (human)
Lineage: Eukaryota; Metazoa; Chordata; Mammalia; Primates; Hominidae
Exons: 2
Source: RefSeq, a predicted model, not a curated record